Molecule: ribosomal RNA, 465 nt
Filed under: uncultured bacterium
Lineage: Bacteria
Description: partial 16S ribosomal RNA
Rfam family: Bacterial small subunit ribosomal RNA
Source: RNAcentral
GAUGAACGCUGGCGGCGUGCUUAACACAUGCAAGUCGAACGAUGAAGCCCAGCUUGCUGGGUGGAUUAGUGGCGAACGGGUGAGUAACACGUGAGUAACCUGCCCUUGACUCUAGGAUAAGCCCGGGAAACUGGGUCUAAUACUGGAUAGGAACGGCUACCGCAUGGGGGGGGUUGGAAAGAAUUUCGGUCAUGGAUGGACUCGCGGCCUAUCAGCUUGUUGGUGAGGUAAUGGCUCACCAAGGCGACGACGGGUAGCCGGCCUGAGAGGGUGACCGGCCACACUGGGACUGAGACACGGCCCAGACUCCUACGGGAGGCAGCAGUGGGGAAUAUUGCACAAUGGGCGAAAGCCUGAUGCAGCGACGCCGCGUGAGGGAUGACGGCCUUCGGGUUGUAAACCUCUUUCAGUAGGGAAGAAGCGAAAGUGACGGUACCUGCAGAAGAAGCACCGGCUAACUACGUG